RNAcentral lists this ribosomal RNA (507 nucleotides) under uncultured bacterium. Its description in RNAcentral is "partial 16S ribosomal RNA". It matches the Rfam family "Bacterial small subunit ribosomal RNA", at positions 30 to 523 of the family's 1533-position model. The record is from RNAcentral.
AUUGAACGCUGGCGGCAGGCCUAACACAUGCAAGUCGAACGGCAGCACAGAAGAGCUUGCUCUUUGGGUGGCGAGUGGCGGACGGGUGAGUAAUGUCUGGGAAACUGCCCGAUGGAGGGGGAUAACUACUGGAAACGGUAGCUAAUACCGCAUAACGUCGCAAGACCAAAGUGGGGGACCUUCGGGCCUCACACCAUCGGAUGUGCCCAGAUGGGAUUAGCUAGUAGGUGGGGUAAUGGCUCACCUAGGCGACGAUCCCUAGCUGGUCUGAGAGGAUGGACAGCCACACUGGAACUGAGACUCGGUCCAGACUCCUACGGGAGGCAGCAGUGGGGAAUAUUGCACAAUGGGCGCAAGCCUGAUGCAGCCAUGCCGCGUGUAUGAAGAAGGCCUUCGGGUUGUAAAGUACUUUCAGCGGGGAGGAAGGCGGUGAGGUUAAUAACCUUGCCGAUUGACGUUACCCGCAGAAGAAGCACCGGCUAACUCCGUGCCAGCAGCCGCCCGUAA